RNAcentral lists this ribosomal RNA (253 nucleotides) under uncultured bacterium. RNAcentral describes it as "partial 16S ribosomal RNA". It matches the Rfam family "Bacterial small subunit ribosomal RNA", at positions 524 to 776 of the family's 1533-position model. The record is from RNAcentral.
UACGGAGGGUGCAAGCAUUAAUCGGAUUUAUUGGGCGUAAAGGGCGCGUAGGUGGGGAUAUUAGUCAGAUGUGAAAUCCCGGGGCUCAACCUCGGAACUGCAUUUGAAACUGUAUCUCUUGAGGGUAGGCGGAGAAAACGGAAUUCCACAAGUAGCGGUGAAAUGCGUAGAUAUGUGGAAGAACACCGGUGGCGAAGGCGGUUUUCUAGCUUAUUCCUGACGCUGAUGCGCGAAAGCAAGGGGAUCAAACAGG